CAAAUAAUUUACAUGACGUGCUUUACAAUUAUAACAUGGGGAUAUGUUGGUGCUAUAUAAAUGAUAUUUGUAAUUAAUUUAAAGUGACUUAAAUUCUAGGUCAAACAGCUGAUCUGUCCAUAUAAAUGAGAAGGAGAAAUUGCCACAUGUAGUUAUUAGAGCUUUAAAUGUAAAAUUUACUUUGACGUAUUCAUGGGAUGUGAGUAUGGAACCCUGGGAGAUCUUAAACAUUUUCCUAUUAAAAUCUGAUAAUACACCUUUUAAGCAUGAGAGAAGUCAGGAAUUGGAGAGAACACUGACAUUUUAUGAAGGUCAUCUUUUGUUGCUUAAAGUGUUCUGGAAUCUUUUUAUUUUAUUUUAUUUUUUUGCUACCAUUUACUGUUUCAGAAAACCUAAUGGCGUUGCUUCCUCUGGCUGCUGCAGAAAGAUUUGCCUUGGAAGCCACUGAUAGGCUGGAAGUGUCAGCUCACACUCAGUCUAUCAAGCACUGGACACCUGUUUUGAGUAACAAUCAUCUGUUAAUCACUCAAAUGGUUAACAAAUGUUUUGACACUUCCCCUUGUCCUGUAGCCGCGGUCAUUUCAGUAGGUGUCAUACUGUCACAUUAACAUACCAACUCAUACCACCAGGGCAAAAAUGUCAUCUGUGGACUGAGCCAAUAAAUAUUGUUUAAACCAGGUAUGAGUUGUAAUAAUGUAGAAGUAUGAACUUCCACUUUAUCAAAUAAAAUAAAUGUAAAAAGUGCAUUAGUGCUCACUACAUUGUCCUUUAUUACUGAUUGGUUUUGUUCAAGUACAGACCAGCACUGCAAAGUUUAUUCACAAAAUUGUGAAUUGUGGAGAAUUGACAAGAUAACGGCAAAUUGUAGGGUAUGUUAAGUAGCGGAGUUCCCAUCUUGGAUAUUUUGUCAUUUCCUUUAAGUCUCCUUUUCGUGUAUAAUUGACGCCACGUCAGACACACUAACAGAGUUCAAUAAACUCUGGAAUGCAGUGCUUUUUUAUUCUUAAUGGCACAAUUUGGAUGAACACAGCCAAAUUGGGACUAUAGCAGAGUUGAACAAUUUCUCCAAAUCUGCUAUUUUGCCAUUCGGAUAUCAAUUAUUUACUAUUCAGAAUGAAGUAAAUUACCCAGAUGUG
Non-coding RNA from Pelobates cultripes (western spadefoot toad), 1136 nucleotides. The record is from the annotation of a GenBank genome assembly. NCBI's taxonomy places the organism in Eukaryota, Metazoa, Chordata, Amphibia, Anura, Pelobatidae.